This 305-nucleotide ribosomal RNA is filed under the name uncultured bacterium. RNAcentral's name for it is "bacterial SSU rRNA". It matches the Rfam family "Bacterial small subunit ribosomal RNA", at positions 334 to 631 of the family's 1533-position model. The record is from RNAcentral.
UUUUCCUACGGGACGCAGCAGUUAGGAAUAUUCGUCAAUGGGGGAAACCCUGAACGAGCAAUGCCGCGUGAACGAUGAAGGCCCUAUGGGUUGUAAAGUUCUGUUGUUUGGAACGAAUAGCUAAAUGAGGAAAUGCAUUUAGUCUGACGGUACCAUUCAAGAAAGCCACGGCUAACUACGUGCCAGCAGCCGCGGUAAUACGUAGGUGGCGAGCGUUAUCCGGAUUUAUUGGGCGUAAAGCGUGCGCAGGCGGUUUGUUAAGUCUAAAAUAAAAGCCCGAAGCUUAACUUCGGUUCGUUUUAGAA